Ixodes scapularis (black-legged tick) is the source of this 73-nucleotide non-coding RNA. NCBI's taxonomy places the organism in Eukaryota, Metazoa, Arthropoda, Arachnida, Ixodida, Ixodidae. The record is from Rfam.
CCAAGCUGUGAUUGUCCAAACGCAAUUCUUGUGCGAUCGUUACCAAGAACUGUGUCGGGACAUCAGGGUUUGG